CCUACGGGAGGCAGCAGUGGGGGAUAUUGCACAAUGGGGGAAACCCUGAUGCAGCGACGCCGCGUGUGGGAAGACGGUCCUCUGGAUUGUAAACCACUGUCCCCAGGGACGAAGAUGACGUUACCUGGGGAGGACGCUCCGGCUAACUACGUGCCAGCAGCCGCGGUAAUACGUAGGGAGCGAGCGUUGUCCGGAAUUACUGGGUGGAAAGGGAGCGUAGGCGGGACUGCAAGUUGGGUGUAAAAUCUACCGGCUCAACCGGUAGCCGCACUCAAAACUGCAGUUCUGGAGUGAAGUAGAGGUAGGCGGAAUUCCUAGUGUAGCGGUGAAAUGCGUAGAUAUUAGGAGGAACACCAGUGGCGAAGGCGACCUGCUGGGCUGUUACUGACGCUGAGGCUCGAAAGUGUGGGGAGCAAACAGGAUUAGAUACCCUUGUAGUC
This 440-nucleotide ribosomal RNA is filed under the name uncultured bacterium. RNAcentral's name for it is "partial 16S ribosomal RNA". It matches the Rfam family "Bacterial small subunit ribosomal RNA", at positions 338 to 795 of the family's 1533-position model. The record is from RNAcentral.